RNAcentral lists this ribosomal RNA (484 nucleotides) under uncultured bacterium. Its description in RNAcentral is "partial 16S ribosomal RNA". The stretch from base 53 to 484 matches the Rfam family "Bacterial small subunit ribosomal RNA", at positions 39 to 507 of the family's 1533-position model. The record is from RNAcentral.
GGGGGGGGGGGGGGGGGGGGGUGGGAGGGGGGGGGGGGGGGGGGGAGGGGGGGUGGGGGCUGGGGGCAGGGGGGGACGGGGGAGGAAUGGCGAGGAAACGGGCUGGUAGGGGGGGAUAACGUAGGGAAACGGGGGCUGAGACCGCAUAGGUCGUGGGGGAGGAAGUGGGGGCGUUUCGGACGUCAGCGGGUGAGAGUAGCCUAGGUCGGAAUAGCUAGUUGGUUGGGUAAAGGCAGACCAAGGCGGCGAUCCGUAACUGGUCUGAGAGGAUGAUCAGUCACACUGGAACUGAGACACGGUCCAGACUCCUACGGGAGGCAGCAGUGGGGAAUAUUGGACAAUGGGCGAAAGCCUGAUCCAGCCAUGCCGCGUGUGUGAAGAAGGUCUUCGGAUUGUAAAGCACUUUAAGUUGGGAGGAAGGGCAGUAAGUUAAUACCUUGCUGUUUUGACGUUACCAACAGAAUAAGCACCGGCUAACUUCGUG